RNAcentral lists this transfer RNA (77 nucleotides) under Hyphococcus flavus. RNAcentral describes it as "tRNA-Arg". It matches the Rfam family "tRNA". From Rfam's summary of the family: Transfer RNA (tRNA) molecules are approximately 80 nucleotides in length. Lineage: Bacteria; Pseudomonadati; Pseudomonadota; Alphaproteobacteria; Parvularculales; Parvularculaceae. The record is from RNAcentral.
GGACCCGUAGCUCAGCUGGAUAGAGCGCUGCCCUCCGAAGGCAGAGGCCAUAGGUUCGAAUCCUAUCGGGUCCGCCA